CGGAGGAGAGCAUCUCUCUCCCGUGAAAGAUGGCCUCUUCUAUGCUAUCACCUGUUAUGGGUCUGCGUCUGAUUAGCUGGUAGGUGAGGUAACGGCUCACCUAGGCGACGAUCAGUAGCCGGUCUGAGAGGAUGAACGGCCACAUUGGGACUGAGACACGGCCCAGACUCCUACGGGAGGCAGCAGUGGGGAAUCUUCCGCAAUGGGCGCAAGCCUGACGGAGCAACGCCGCGUGAGUGAAGAAGGUCUUCGGAUCGUAAAGCUCUGUUGACGGGGACGAACGUGCGUGAUGCGAACAGUGUCAUGCAAUGACGGUACCUGUCGAGGA
Molecule: ribosomal RNA, 328 nt
Filed under: Centipeda flueggei
Lineage: Bacteria; Bacillati; Bacillota; Negativicutes; Selenomonadales; Selenomonadaceae
Description: bacterial SSU rRNA
Rfam family: Bacterial small subunit ribosomal RNA
Source: RNAcentral